AACAUCUAAGUACCCCGAGGAAAAGAAAUCAACCGAGAUUCCCCCAGUAGCGGCGAGCGAACGGGGAGCAGCCCAGAGCCUGAAUCAGUGUGUGUGUUAGUGGAAGCGUCUGGAAAGGCGCGCGAUACAGGGUGACAGCCCCGUACACAAAAAUGCACAUACUGUGAGCUCGAUGAGUAGGGCGGGACACGUGGUAUCCUGUCUGAAUAUGGGGGGACCAUCCUCCAAGGCUAAAUACUCCUGACUGACCGAUAGUGAACCAGUACCGUGAGGGAAAGGCGAAAAGAACCCCGGCGAGGGGAGUGAAAAAGAACCUGAAACCGUGUACGUACAAGCAGUGGGAGCACAGAGCAAUCUGUGUGACUGCGUACCUUUUGUAUAAUGGGUCAGCGACUUAUAUUCUGUAGCAAGGUUAACCGAAUAGGGGAGCCGAAGGGAAACCGAGUCUUAACUGGGCGUUAAGUUGCAGGGUAUAGACCCGAAACCCGGUGAUCUAGCCAUGGGCAGGUUGAAGGUUGGGUAACACUAACUGGAGGACCGAACCGACUAAUGUUGAAAAAUUAGCGGAUGACUUGUGGCUGGGGGUGAAAGGCCAAUCAAACCGGGAGAUAGCUGGUUCUCCCCGAAAGCUAUUUAGGUAGCGCCUCGUGAAUUCAUCUCCGGGGGUAGAGCACUGUUUCGGCAAGGGGGUCAUCCCGACUUACCAACCCGAUGCAAACUGCGAAUACCGGAGAAUGUUAUCACGGG
RNAcentral lists this ribosomal RNA (747 nucleotides) under Escherichia coli. RNAcentral's name for it is "partial 23S ribosomal RNA". It matches the Rfam family "Bacterial large subunit ribosomal RNA", at positions 197 to 981 of the family's 2925-position model. The record is from RNAcentral. Lineage: Bacteria; Pseudomonadati; Pseudomonadota; Gammaproteobacteria; Enterobacterales; Enterobacteriaceae.